UGAGCGACCUACCUAAUUGUGGGGGAUAGCCGGCCCAACGGCCGGGUAAUACCGCAUACGAUCGGAGAGGGGCAUCCCUUUCUGAGGAAAGCCUUCGGGCGCAAUUUGAGGGGCUCGCGGCCUAUCAGCUAGUUGGCGGGGUAACGGCCCACCAAGGCGACGACGGGUAGCUGGUCUGAGAGGGCGACCGGCCACACUGGGACUGAGACACGGCCCAGACUCCUACGGGAGGCAG
RNAcentral lists this ribosomal RNA (235 nucleotides) under uncultured bacterium. RNAcentral's name for it is "partial 16S ribosomal RNA". It matches the Rfam family "Bacterial small subunit ribosomal RNA", at positions 118 to 351 of the family's 1533-position model. The record is from RNAcentral.